This is a non-coding RNA of Streptomyces griseus subsp. griseus NBRC 13350, 98 nucleotides long. The record is from Rfam. NCBI's taxonomy places the organism in Bacteria, Bacillati, Actinomycetota, Actinomycetes, Kitasatosporales, Streptomycetaceae.
UGACCCCGUGCGGGAGAGUCCUCCGGUGGAGAAUCCGGAGGCGCCGAAGGAGCAACUCCUCCCCGGAAUCUCUCAGGCCCCCGUACCGCACGGACGAG